Non-coding RNA from Immersiella caudata, 94 nucleotides. The record is from the annotation of a GenBank genome assembly. Lineage: Eukaryota; Fungi; Ascomycota; Sordariomycetes; Sordariales; Lasiosphaeriaceae.
GGCGGUGUGGCAGAGUGGUUAAUGCGCUGUGUUUAGGUACCCUAAACCUGAUCCGCAGUGGGAAACCGCGCGAGUUCGAAUCUCGUCACCGUCA